RNAcentral lists this ribosomal RNA (215 nucleotides) under uncultured bacterium. Its description in RNAcentral is "partial 16S ribosomal RNA". It matches the Rfam family "Bacterial small subunit ribosomal RNA", at positions 524 to 736 of the family's 1533-position model. The record is from RNAcentral.
UACGGGGGGGGUAAGCGUUGUUCGGAAUUACUGGGCGUAAAGGGCUCGUAGGCGGCCAACUAAGUCGGACGUGAAAUCCCUCAGCUUAACUGGGGAACUGCGUCCGAUACUGGAUGGCUUGGAUUUGGGAGAGGGAUGCGGAAUUCCAGGUGUAGCGGUGAAAUGCGUAGAUAUCUGGAGGAACACCGGUGGCGGAAGGCGGCAUCCUGGGACCA